GAUGAACGCUGGAGGCGUGCUUAACACAUGCAAGGCGAACGAUGAAGCCCAGCUUGCUGGGUGGAUUAGUGGCGAACGGGUGAGUAACACGUGAGUAACCUGCCCUUGACUCUGGGAUAAGCCGGGGAAACUGGGUAUAAUACUGGAUAUGACUUCUCAUCGCAUGGUGGGGGGUGGAAAGAUGUAUUGGUCUUGGAUGGACUCGCGGCCUAUCAGCUUGUUGGUGAGGUAAUGGCUCACCAAGGCGACGACGGGUAGCCGGCCUGAGAGGGUGACCGGCCACACUGGGACUGAGACACGGACCAGACUCCUACGGGAGGCAGCAGCGGGGAAUAUUGCACAAUGGGCGCAAGCCUGAUGCAGAGACGCCGCGUGAGGGAUGACGGCCUUCGGGUUGUAAACCUCUUUCAGUAGGGAAGAAGCGAGAGUGACGGUACCUGCAGAAGAAGCGCCGGCUAACUACGUG
RNAcentral lists this ribosomal RNA (466 nucleotides) under uncultured bacterium. RNAcentral describes it as "partial 16S ribosomal RNA". It matches the Rfam family "Bacterial small subunit ribosomal RNA", at positions 28 to 507 of the family's 1533-position model. The record is from RNAcentral.